This is an RNA transcript of Zingiber officinale, 1148 nucleotides long. It is a transcript of the gene named NADPH-dependent aldehyde reductase-like protein, chloroplastic, with no coding region annotated. The transcript is spliced from 2 exons. NCBI's taxonomy places the organism in Eukaryota, Viridiplantae, Streptophyta, Magnoliopsida, Zingiberales, Zingiberaceae. The record is from RefSeq and is a predicted model, not a curated record.
CACCGACACUGCUAUGGGUUUUCCUUAUCCUAAAACCCUAUCAUGCUCCUCUUCGUCGACUAUUUUAUUACUAGGCUAGCCCAUCGACUCAAUGGCCGACGCCCUCCCCCUCUCUGGCCGGAUAGCCAUCGUCACCGGCGCCGCCCGCGGAAUUGGCCGUGGUGUCGCCGUCCACCUUGCCUCCCUCGGCGCCUUCCUCGUUCUCGGCGACUGCUCCGACACCCCCAAUUUAGAACAACUUGCCGCCGAGCUCAAUGCCUCCACUGAUCGCCCACCUCGCGCCAUUGCCCUCCGCGUGGACAUCUCUGACGCCGGUGCCGUCAAAUCGCUCUUCGACGCCGCAGAAUCCACCUUCGGCGGCCGCGCUCACAUCAUCGUCACCUGCGCCGCGAUCUGCGACUACGACUACCCAUUCCUGGCUGAAACCACCGAAGAGGUCUGGGACCGCACGUUGGCCGUCAACGCCCGAGGGAGCUUCCUUUGCUGCCGGGAGGCCGCGAAUCGGCUGGUCCGCGGCGGAGCGGGGAGGAUCGUGUGCUUCUCGUCCUCGGGGGUGGGCGCGCUACGUCCGGGUUACUCGGCGUACGUGGCGUCGAAGGCGGCGGUGGAGGUGAUGGUGAAGGUGCUGGCGAAGGAGCUGAAGGGGACGGGGAUCACGGCCAACUGCGUGGCGCCCGGGCCGGUGAAGACGCCGAUGUUCUACGGGGGGAAGAGCGACGAGGUGGUGCAGAGCGUACUGGAGGAGAGUCCGAUGGGGCGACUGGGGGAGGUGGAGGACAUCGCGCCGGUGGUGGGGUUCCUGUGCACCGACGGCGCCGGGUGGGUGAAUGGGCAGGUCGUCCGAGUCAACGGAGGCUACGUUUGAUUUGAUCCCUCUCAGUAUUCAGUUAUCAGGAUUCCGGCUCGCCGUCUUCAGCUCCCCGUGUUCCAUUUUCCGUCUUGAUUCUCUGUUAUGUGCACUGUUCCCGGCCAUGAAUGCUGGUUUCUCUUGCUGCUCCGUUGUGAUUGUCGAUCUAUAGAUCUGAUGGAUGCAUUUCGUCAAAUGGUUCUGCACUAUUCGUCCGCAGGAGCAGCCGACUCUCAGGUUAACUCGUGUCUCGUGUCUCGUGUCUCGUGUCUCGUGUCUCGUGUCUCGUGUCUCGUGUCUC